AUAUUUAAUUUAAUUUUGUCAAUUAUUGUUUUAUUUAAUGUGUGAAUUAAUUUUAGCUGUAAUGUUUUGAUUUCAAUAAAUAAAAUUUAGGCAGGCCACAAUAUGAUGACUUGGAUGUUGAUGUAGACAUCGUAGAUCGAAAGUGAACUUUUCUAUUAUAUAGACGUAUUUUACUUAUUUUUUGCUUAAUUUAUGCUUACUUUUGGUCAAAUUAUUUUCUCUUUAUUAUUCAAAUUAUUUCAAUAAUCAUAACAUAUUGGUAGAUAUGUAGUCGCUAUAAAAAAUUUGGAUGUAAAUGUUAACUGAUGAAAUAAACUAGGCCUAAUUUGUGUGAAAGUAGAAACCUAUUAAUUGUGAAAGUUUGAAAUUCCAUAAUCUCGGUCGCAUAUUGAAUACUCAACAUAUAAUUUUGGUAGUGUUUGAAGAAUCAUAUUUGAGACAUAAUCAGGUAUAAUGAAUAAAAGCAGAUGACACAGCAAACGAGGAAGAUGUCAUCACUUGUCACAAAUCCAGUGCAUAGAUGGAUCAAGUGCAAUUCUGAUGAAGUAUAAAAACAUUAGAGAAAUACUCUGAAAUUGGAUGGAUACUCUAUGACGACCAGGUGGUGUUUGUAACAUCUUGCAUAGCGUUAAUCUUGAGCUAAAAACAGCUUUAGAAGCUGAAAGAUAGAUUUUUGGGGUCAGACUGAAAACUUUAAUUAAGUUAGGGUAAAUAUGUAAGGAAAAGGAAGUAAUGUGUAAUUUUAUA
RNAcentral lists this small RNA (747 nucleotides) under Arabidopsis thaliana (thale cress). RNAcentral describes it as "ATSL189730". Lineage: Eukaryota; Viridiplantae; Streptophyta; Magnoliopsida; Brassicales; Brassicaceae. The record is from RNAcentral.